AAAUUGAAGAGUUUGAUCAUGGCUCAGAUUGAACGCUGGCGGCAGGCCUAACACAUGCAAGUCGAACGGUAACAGGAAGCAGCUUGCUGCUUCGCUGACGAGUGGCGGACGGGUGAGUAAUGUCUGGGAAACUGCCUGAUGGAGGGGGAUAACUACUGGAAACGGUGGCUAAUACCGCAUAACGUCGCAAGACCAAAGAGGGGGACCUUCGGGCCUCUUGCCAUCAGAUGUGCCCAGAUGGGAUUAGCUAGUUGGUGAGGUAACGGCUCACCAAGGCGACGAUCCCUAGCUGGUCUGAGAGGAUGACCAGCCACACUGGAACUGAGACACGGUCCAGACUCCUACGGGAGGCAGCAGUGGGGAAUA
This 366-nucleotide ribosomal RNA is filed under the name Salmonella enterica. RNAcentral describes it as "bacterial SSU rRNA". It matches the Rfam family "Bacterial small subunit ribosomal RNA", at positions 1 to 363 of the family's 1533-position model. Lineage: Bacteria; Pseudomonadati; Pseudomonadota; Gammaproteobacteria; Enterobacterales; Enterobacteriaceae. The record is from RNAcentral.